GACAUCCUCUGACAACCCUGGAGACAGGGCCUUCCCCUUCGGGGGACAGAGUGACAGGUGGUGCAUGGUUGUCGUCAGCUCGUGUCGUGAGAUGUUGGGUUAAGUCCCGCAACGAGCGCAACCCUUGAUCUUAGUUGCCAGCAUUC
Molecule: ribosomal RNA, 146 nt
Filed under: uncultured Bacillus sp.
Lineage: Bacteria; Bacillati; Bacillota; Bacilli; Caryophanales; Bacillaceae
Description: partial 16S ribosomal RNA
Rfam family: Bacterial small subunit ribosomal RNA
Source: RNAcentral